RNAcentral lists this ribosomal RNA (397 nucleotides) under uncultured bacterium. RNAcentral's name for it is "partial 16S ribosomal RNA". It matches the Rfam family "Bacterial small subunit ribosomal RNA", at positions 523 to 918 of the family's 1533-position model. The record is from RNAcentral.
AUACGUAGGGGGCGAGCGUUGUCCGGAAUGAUUGGGCGUAAAGGGCGCGUAGGCGGCGCGGUAAGUCUGGAGUGAAAGUCCUGCUUUCAAGGUGGGAACUGCUUUGGAUACUGCCGCGCUUGAGUGCAGGAGAGGUUAUCGGAAUUCCCGGUGUAGCGGUGAAAUGCGUAGAGAUCGGGAGGAACACCAGUGGCGAAGGCGGGUAACUGGACUGCAACUGACGCUGAGGCGCGAAAGUGUGGGGAGCAAACAGGAUUAGAUACCCUGGUAGUCCACACUGUAAACGAUGAAUGCUAGGUGUAAGAGGUAUCGACCCCUUUUGUGCCGGAGUCAACACAAUAAGCAUUCCGCCUGGGGAGUACGGCCGCAAGGUUGAAACUCAAAGGAAUUGACGGGG